This 63-nucleotide transfer RNA is filed under the name Amphiophiura penichra. Its description in RNAcentral is "tRNA-Lys". Lineage: Eukaryota; Metazoa; Echinodermata; Ophiuroidea; Amphilepidida; Ophiuridae. The record is from RNAcentral.
CUUUAAUUAGCUAUAGAAGUUUAUGACUCUUAAUCAUACGAAAGUGAAAAUCACUAUUAAAGA